GACUUCAUGGUGUAGUCGGAUAUCACGGCUUAAUAAUUACGUCUGCCCAACACGCAGACAAUCGCCAGUUCAACUCUAGCUGAAGUCA
Endogone sp. FLAS-F59071 is the source of this 88-nucleotide non-coding RNA. Lineage: Eukaryota; Fungi; Mucoromycota; Endogonomycetes; Endogonales; Endogonaceae. The record is from the annotation of a GenBank genome assembly.